UCUAGUCUCCCCCUCUUUCGAGGCCAGAUCCGGCCCGCCCAGGCCCGAGUGCUGUAGCCGCCCGUAAGCCGCCACCACCAGCGCCCGACCCCGAGCUCCUCCUCCCGUGCGCCUCCUCCCCUGCCUCCCUAGCGCGUCGUCCGGCGACCGGCGCCGUCGUCGGCGACCACCCAGGUCACGCCGCCGCUCCCCUGCCUUCUCUCUUUCCCCCCUCUCUCUCUCUAAUCUCCUUUUAUCUCCUUCUCUCCAGGAGCUCAGCGCCAGGGCCAUGGAUGCCCAGUCCUCGAGCUCGAGGUUCGAACGCCGCCACGUGACCUCCACCGGCCAGAUCCGGCGCCUCCCUCCGGGAUCUGCGCGCCCUCCACCUCCUCUACCCGAUCCGGGGCCGCCCAACCCGCCAUGGCCUCCACCAUGGAGCUCCUGUAGCUCGUCCCCUGCCUCCUGUUCCUGUGCUCGAGGGAGACGCGCCUCCAGCGCAGUGAGCACAAGGCCCAGCCGUGCCAAGGCCUACCCCGACCACCUCUGCGUCCAGCCGGCAUACCCUACGUGAUGCUCGACCCGGUGCGCCAGCCGCCAACCGACGCCAGAUCGCAGCACCCUUCACCACCGUUCCACCUCAGCUCCUCCUCUCAUCCGUGCCCCCGAGCUCCUCGCUAUGCGCCGCCCUGGAGGGCACGCGCUCGCCAGCCGGUCGUCGUUGCACUCGCAGGCGACCUCGCCGUCCCCUCUGCACUGCCCUCCACCUCAACUGAUGAUUUAGCUGGUUAUAGCUUGUGGAUGUUCUCUGUUGUUUUUUGCACACAAGGUGUUUGUGUGUUUGUCCGAGCCAAUGUUCAUGAGCUUUAUCUUUGCUGUGAGUACUGCAUCUUUCUGUCCAUCUGAUUGUUCCAUGUUAUACUAUCUGUUGAAGAAAAUAGAUCUGUAUUGUUUAUCUUGAUUUUUCUGAUUGUAGAUAAAUGACAUGGCUGAGAAAGUCCCUUCAAUGAAAGGAGGAGUAUAGUCUUGGCCAUGGCUGGGAAGGAAGGAGAACAUGUAAAUUGAGGAUUUUUCAGAGAGAUCGGGACUGCUUGAUUUAUCAGUGGACUGGUGUGCUGGUUGAUUAGGAUCUUUCAGAGAGAUCAUGGUUGCUUGAUUAAUCAGAGAGAAACUGGAUCAGUACUUGGGAGUUGGGACUGGUGUGCUACGGUUGCUUGAUUAAUCAGAGAGAAACUUAUCAUAAUUUAUGAUUUCCUUUUCUUGAUUUGGAGCAAGUGUCUUUGCUGGAGUCAGCGUCCUUGUGGUUGAUCUCAUAUACAUGAGGUAUGGUAUUUCUAUCCUUAAAAGUAUGUAACAAAUCCACAAUUCAUUUUGAGUUAUUCCUGUGUUUUUUUGGGAUCAGGAUUACCCGAGUCAGCUCCUUGUGGUUGAUCUCAUAUACAUGAGGUAUGGUAUUUCUAUCUUUAAAAGUAUGUAAUAAAUCCACAAUUCAUUUUGAGUUAUUCAUGUGUUUCUUCGGAUCAGGAUUAUCCAAUUAUUAAAGCACAUACAUUGGAGUUGAAAUAUAGGCGGGUUGUGUACACGGGGUACAUGUACGUGAUGUAAACAAAACCUAUAUAACUCAGGUACGCCAUACAUCUAGCUUAAUUUUUGCAUGGGCGACAAUUUGAAAAGCUUACUGCAGAUCCGCCAAAGAUAGAUUAUACACAAUAUUAAAAAUCAUCUUGAGAAAUCUUGAAAGUUUGUAAAACUUAAAAUACACACCUCUCUUUACAGGUUCACAAUUUCGAAUUCUAUCUGUCAUAUUGUUUUUUCUAAUACAGCGGCAUCUCUACUACCCUCCUGUAAAGCGAUUGGCCAUUGUUAGGAUAAAAAUAGCAACUACACACGUAUUUAAUCAAUCUUUUGGCCUAUAUCCUUCGGUAUUAUUAUUGCCAAUUUGAGGGGGAAAAGGCAAAACAUGUAAAGCUUUAUAAGUUUUAUAUCCUACCCUAAGCCCAAAUCUUUAUGUUGUUCUUUAUGCAAGACUCCAUAGCACCCCGGCCUUGAUCACAAAUGAGUCGCUGGCUGCCAUAGCACUAUCAGUUCCCUGUGGUGAUCGUCGUUUAUAUUGGUUUGUGGCGCAGGGAAUCGGUACUACAAGAGAGCUUCAAGCUGACGGCCAAUAGAAAUGGAAGACAUGACUUGAUGGAGAAAUCAGGUGCAUAUGAACAACAUAUUGUCUUCCAAUUUUUUUCAUCAUUCAGUAGGACAAUUUCCUAAUUCUGUAUGAAAAGGUUAUUAGUAUGGAUAUAUAUUUAUCGAAUUUAAUUAGCAUAUAUGAGGUUCUUUAUUCAGCCCCCCUUUUGCUCAUGACUACAUAAUUAUUCGGACUUGUAUUCUAGAUAGAUGCUUUUCUAUGAACCUCAUAAAAAAUGUAAUAUGCCUUAGAUCCUAAUUGACUAUUUAUACAUCGGAUAAUUUCAGCUUGCUGUGUCCCAAGAUACCUAUUUUUUUUAACCAAAAACAGGUGAAGUCCUAACAAUCUAUACUCCUGCAUUGUAUCUUCAAAUGUAUAUUGCUUCUGUAGGAUUCGAACAGAUGGUAGUUUGCAGACUGAUGAGUUGGUUCCAGUAACAUCACAUGUCAAGGAUACCUCUCUCCACUUAACAAUCAAUUUUUUUUAAUGAUGAUGUUCAGAGAAGUGCGUUUAAUUUCUGUCGCAGUGGGAUGUUGUGAUUAGUUCAGUUUUGCUUGAUCUAUUUCGAGUUAAUUCCUUUUUGUGAUGUGGUGUUAGGGAACAUACAUUCUGCUCUCUUGUUCUUCAGCUUGGGGUGUCGGCAGCUACCUAUUACUACUAGGGAGUCUUAUUUCGGACGGAAAGAAAAUCCAAUAUUGGUUUUUAUCCAUUUGUAUGCCUGCGUUAGCCUUAUGAAGCACAAAGGAUGUCCCAGUGAUCAGUCACGGAUGAUACUUGGUGUAUUCUUACUAGGCUAAUGGGCAAAUACUCGAAUAACUGAAUCACCUGCAAUCUUUCUUUUAUUGUAACGGCGGUGUUAUAUCUGCAACAACAGUUUGUAAUUUUUUAUCUAUAAUUGUGAAUAUACAUCUUGGUAGCUAUAAUUGAUCAAUCACGGAUGAUACUUGGUGUUUCCUUAUACUAGGCUAAUGGGAAAAAUACUCGAAUAACUGAAUCACCUGUCAACAACAGUUUUUAAAAUUUUCUGUAUAAUUGUGAAUAUACAUCUUGGUAGCUAUAAAUUAUACCCUCUGUUUGGUGUUGGUAAGAACAUAUGCUGAGCUUGUUUUAUGCUCUUGUUCAAGACAUCUCGGAUCUGUUAAACCAUGAAGUCUCUUCUUUCACUGUGGAAAUAUGGGCGGCUGAGCGCCUGUGCUUCUUUGCCAAUCGGUUGGAUGCCUUGAGAAGUGUGCUGCGUUGCCAAUCGGUCGGAUGCCUUGAGAAGGGUCAAAUAGGGUGGACGAUUGAUUUGGAAUUUGGUUUUGUUAACGUCAACAGGAGGAGGAAUGGAGGAGAAGCCAAGCCAAGGAGAGGACGAAGAUUUGAGCCUAGGACACUGGGUGUCGAUAACGGUAAG
This 3551-nucleotide long non-coding RNA is filed under the name Triticum aestivum (bread wheat). RNAcentral's name for it is "long non-coding RNA (TAES_LNC000385)". The record is from RNAcentral. Lineage: Eukaryota; Viridiplantae; Streptophyta; Magnoliopsida; Poales; Poaceae.